UACGAAGGGGGCUAGCGUUGUUCGGAAUCACUGGGCGUAAAGCGCACGUAGGCGGAUUGAUAAGUCAGGGGUGAAAUCCCGAGGCUCAACCUCGGAACUGCCUUUGAUACUGUUAGUCUUGAGUUCGGGAGAGGUGAGUGGAACUCCGAGUGUAGAGGUGAAAUUCGUAGAUAUUCGGAAGAACACCAGUGGCGAAGGCGGCUCACUGGCCCGAUACUGACGCUGAGGUGCGAAAGCGUGGGGAGCAAAC
RNAcentral lists this ribosomal RNA (250 nucleotides) under uncultured bacterium. RNAcentral describes it as "partial 16S ribosomal RNA". It matches the Rfam family "Bacterial small subunit ribosomal RNA", at positions 524 to 773 of the family's 1533-position model. The record is from RNAcentral.